UACGUAGGGGGCAAGCGUUGUCCGGAAUCAUUGGGCGUAAAGAGCGUGUAGGCGGUCCGGUAAGUCGGUUGUGAAAGUCCAGGGCUCAACCCUGGGAUGCCGACCGAUACUGUCGGACUAGAGUUCGGAAGAGGCGAGUGGAAUUCCCGGUGUAGCGGUGAAAUGCGCGGAUAUCGGGAGGAACACCUAUGGCGAAGGCAGCUCGCUGGGACGUUACUGACGCUGAGACGCGAAAGCGUGGGGAGCAAACAGG
This 253-nucleotide ribosomal RNA is filed under the name uncultured bacterium. RNAcentral describes it as "partial 16S ribosomal RNA". It matches the Rfam family "Bacterial small subunit ribosomal RNA", at positions 524 to 776 of the family's 1533-position model. The record is from RNAcentral.